GUAAUGAGGUUGUAAGUUAUGAAAAGCCACGACCCAACUUAGGGAUUCAUCGUUUCGUGUUUGUAUUAUUACGUCAACGGUGUAGACAAAUAGUCUAUGCUCCGGGAUGGCGACAGAACUUUAAUACAAGAGAAUUCAUUGAACUUUACAAUCUUGAAUUGCCGGUUGCUGCUGUGUUCUUCAAUUGUCAAAGGGAAGCUGGCUCUGGAGGAAGAACCUUUACAUAA
Vicia faba (fava bean) is the source of this 227-nucleotide non-coding RNA. NCBI's taxonomy places the organism in Eukaryota, Viridiplantae, Streptophyta, Magnoliopsida, Fabales, Fabaceae. The record is from the annotation of a GenBank genome assembly.